AUAAAUAAGCGGGGGAAAAGAAACCAACAGGGAUUCCCUCAGUAGCGGCGAGCGAAGAGGGAAGAGCCCAGCGCCGAAUUCCCCGCCCGGAAGGGCGUUCGGAACAUGUGGCGUUUAGGAGGAAUCUCUCCGGAGGCAGACGGUGUCGCAAGUCCCCCUGAACGGGGCUGUGAUCCAGAGCGGGUGCGAGGCCCAUAGCUGGUACCGUCUCCUUCGGGUGUCACCUCCUCGGAGUCGGGUUGCUUGGGAGUGCAGCCCUAAUUGGGUGGUAAACUCCACCUAAGGCUAAAUACGUCCGUGAGACCGAUAGCAAACAAGUACCGUGAGGGAAAGUUGCAAAGAACUUUGAAGAGAGAGUUCAAGAGUACGUGAAACCGCUCAGAGGCAAACGGGUGGGCCCACGAAAGCCGAAGGCGGGGGGAUUCAGUCGAGAGGACGUCGGGGCAGUGCCUGCUGGUUCGACGGACCGUGCCAGGCCGGGUUGGCUCCCGAGACCCUUCGCCUCUCGACGCAUUUCCCUCUGCUUAGUAGGACGCCGCAACCCGUCGGUGCACUCAGCCAUAAGGGAGAGUCAUCGGAAGGUAGCCAGCGAGCACUUCUUCGGAGGAGCGAGCUGGUCCUAUAGCCCGCUCUCCUGGUGCUUGAGGCCCGACGGUGGUCUGGAGUCCCUUCACGGGACGUCGCCGAGCCCUUCUCGAGCGAGCGGGAGCGUACGGCAGGCUGCUUUCCGCGACCUAAAACCGGUCGCUCCACACGAGCAGUGGGCGACCUUCGGAGGCGGCUGCUGGAACGUACGUUUCCCGCGCUGGGCACAGGCAGUUGGCGGCGAGUAGGUCGGUCACCCACCCGACCCGGACGACAGGAUGAGAGCGCCCAGUGGGCCACUUUUGGUAAGCAGAACUGGCGCUGUGGGAUGAACCAAACGCCGGGUUACGGCGCCCGAUGCGAGACGCUCACGAGACCCCAUGAAAGGUGUUGGUUGCUAUUGACAGCAGGACGGUGGCCAUGGAAGUCGGAAUCCGCUAAGGAGUGUGUAACAACUCACCUGCCGAAGCAACUAGCCCUGAAAAUGGAUGGCGCUCCAGCGUCGAGCCCAUACCCGGCCGCCGCGGCAGAUGGUACAGAAGCUUAUGCCGCGGUGAGUAGGAGGGUCGCAGUGGCGUGCGUUGAAGGUGCCGGGCGUAAGCCCGCCUGGAGCCGCCACUGGUGCAGAUCUUGGUGGUAGUAGCAAAUACUCAAGUGAGAACCUUGAGGACUGAGGUGGAGAAGGGUUCCAUGUGAACAGCAGUUGAACAUGGGUCAGUCGGUCCUAAGGAAUAGGAGAAGUCCGUUCCGAAGCGGGACGUUUAUUUGACGGCUAGUCCCGCCCACUGACCGAAAGGGAAUCGGGUUAAUAUUCCCGAACCCGGACAAGGAGAUCGGCCCCUCGGGGUCAAGUGCGGUAACGCAACUGAACUCGGAGAAGUCGACGGGAGUCCCGGAGAGAGUUUUCUUUUCUUUGU
This 1502-nucleotide ribosomal RNA is filed under the name Stenochrus portoricensis. RNAcentral describes it as "eukaryotic LSU rRNA". It matches the Rfam family "Eukaryotic large subunit ribosomal RNA", at positions 42 to 1704 of the family's 3401-position model. The record is from RNAcentral. Lineage: Eukaryota; Metazoa; Arthropoda; Arachnida; Schizomida; Hubbardiidae.